CACAGAAGUGAUGUUGUUUCCUUCUCACUUCAUCACAUGAUGAGGCGCAUGAUGUCACUGUGUCCAUGACUUGUGACGUGGUUCCUGGAUUCUUGGUUAAGGUGGUGUCUGUCGGGCUUCUUUGUAAAGUUACUUUUAGCCUCAGCUGAUAUCCUGUUUCUCCUUAAACAUCCACCCACUGAUUUCAGCAUCCAUUCACCAGUCUGGCCUCCUGCGGCUGUCCCGGUGCUGUCGGCCUCAUGGUGUUUGGUGUUUCCCUCAUUCAUUCCACAUUUAUCGAUUUGAAUUGUUCUAUCAGGAAGAACUGCCCUUCUCCACCAUUUGUUUAUUUAUUCAUUUAUGUUAGUGUGGGCGCAUGCAUAUGUAUUUUAUUCAAUGGGUCAUAAUCCAGUCCUACGAUAAUUCGCUUUGUCGCUCAGAUUGUUGCAUAUUUGGUCUCCUUGGUGAUGCCCCCCAGGUGAGGCAUGUGGGUGGUCACCAGAGGACCCUAUGAUCAAAUCAGCUGUGUCUUUGUUAAAGAAAUUAUUGAUACCAAUAUUUAAUUAAUCACAAAUACUUUAGCUCUGUAUAUUUUGAGGAGAAGAAAGCCUAAGGGGUCAAGAAUGACCAUAAUUUUCCAUGUGAAACAUCAUUCUCUUUACACCGCAGGUUUAAGCACGGCUCGCUUCAAUUUAAGUCUGAUUUCCCUUCCCCUCUUUAUUUUAUCUUAGAGGAAACCUCUGACUUCUCCUUUGACCUGGCUGUUUUAAAUUGGCUGUAUUGCUAUCAUCGGAGAUAAAGUCAGAUACUGGUUAAAAUGGUCAGGACCGAUUUUAGUUAGUAAUAAAUCUUGCAAUAGGGAAAAGAGUCCAGCAGUAAUUAGCUGAACUCAACUUGGAUUUGUACACAGGUGACUGGCAUAUUCAGGGGAGGGAGGGAGGGUGGUGCCCGGGGCUCAGGAGAGUCAGGGAGGAGAAGCGUGAGCAAGGCUUCAUCAGUGUAAGCGCAGUUGGAUCUGCUGUGUCUGCUUCUGGCCAUUAUGGAAGCUAAGCUUCUCCCCUCCUGUCCCUCAGCUGUUGCCUGACCAAACAGUAAACUAUUUUGAGAGCCUCGACUUCUUCCAGACAGGCACUUUCAGGGGGCCUGGGGCUCUCCUGGGGAUGUUGGAGACUUUGUUGGUGUUGGUUCAGGUCUUUCUAGUAAAAGGAUGAGGAAAAGGAGGGGGUGUCUUGGUCACGACACCCUCUGGCUAUUUGUCCUUUAGUUGUUGCUGCUCAUUUCCUUGGCUCCAACUGACCCAAGCAUGUAAUUAUGAUUCUAUAUGGCAGACGUUUCUGCAUCUGAUUUUAAGAACAUGGUUUUUUUACACAAAAUACGUCUUUUUACCUUUUCACAUAUUUGUUUAUGUAUCUGCAUACAUAUAUUCACACACAUGUAUAUAUAGGCCUGUGUAGGUGAUGUACUCCAGAGUGUGUAUGUGCUUGUGUGUUUCAUGUACUCUGUGUCUUGUCUUUGACAGUCACUUGCCUGCCUUAUAAAAGGCAUUUUAAAAAUCUACUUGGAUGGAAAUUCAUAAAGGCAGUUAGAUUAUCUUGCAAGCAAGCCGAUCGAAGGAUACUGUGUAAAAACUUGGUAUUCUCAUUAGGCCUGCUAACUUCUCAAAGUGCCUGCCUCUUCCAAAUUAACUCUUGGACCACAUAUCCUCCAGAGCCUUCUUGUCAUGGCCUUCUGGAAGAUGUCUUAUAAAUCCUAAUAGUGCAAGAAACUGUCAAUAUUAUGUGCAUAAGUGCACUCAGGAUAUGUGUGCUUGGCAUAUACUAAACGCUCUGGAGGUGUUAAUAUCUAUUAUUAUGCAUUUCACAAACCAAACAACUGACUGGCUCAGUAAUACACAGGUAAUAACUUUCCAUAUUUAAUGCAACUAGGAAACCGUGAAUUGCUUUACUUCAAUCAAAGCAUAAAUUCCAAGAAACUUUUCCAAAGCCGUUUCCAAAUCACUCAGCAAAACCAGUUAGAGGUGUCUGUGACUUUGAUUAACAUUCCUACGUAAUAGAUGGAGUAGCUCUCAAAUUUGGUGCAAAUAAAAGUCGUCUCAACUGCAUAGGCCUAGACCCAAGGUCACGUGAUUCUGAUUCAGUGUGAGCAACAGAAGUUUCCAUUUUUAAUCAACAUCCCCUUGUUGGUAGAAGACUCAUUAGAGGUGGUGGUUUAAGAGCUCUUCUUCGUUACGAUUGGCUUGUUGUGCAGAGGAAGCUGGUGGGAGGGCUGCCGGAAACAGAUCUGGGCUUGUGUAUAAGGAGCAGCAGCCUUAAGCGGAAGCAGAUUUGGUGCGGUGGUGACUUCCGGAAGGGGGUAAAGCCGUGUUCCCGUGGACAAGAGUGGUGAGUAGCUGUGUUCCCAUCUUCAGAAAGCCAGAAACUACCCAACCUCUGUAUUUGACCUCAUCUGAUUGCCUGUUGCAGCUAUUGAAAGGAAGUUAUCUCACUAUUGAUUCCAAGAAAAGGAAGUAACUUUAAAUGUGUGUUUGCUAAGACAAGUACCCACCCUGCAACAUACGCCCUGAAAAAGCUAAAAUGCAAACAUCUAGUUUUUUUAAAUCAGUAGAAAUUUUUUUUUUUUUUUUUUGUCUUUUUUGUUGUUGUUGCUAUUUCUUGGGCCACUCCCACGGCAUAUGGAGGUUCCCAGGCUAGGUGUUGAAUCGGAGCUGUAGCCACCGGCCUACGCCAGAGCCACAGCAAGGCGGGAUCCGAGCCGCGUCUGCACUACAUCACAGCUCACGGCAACGCCGGAUGGUCAACCCACUGAGCAAGGGCAGGGACCGAACCCGCAACCGCAUGGUUCCUAGUCGGAUUCGUUAACCACUGCGCCACGACGGGAACUCCCUAAAUCGGUAGAAAUUUUUGACUUAAUUCUUUUGAAUAGCAGUGCCUGGACUGACUUAUCUCUGGCUUGUGAUGGGGCCAAAACCAUGGAUUCAUAGUCUAUGAUGUACAUGGUUUGUUUUUUUGUUUUGUUUUUCCAUACCAUUUUUAUUCUCCUGUUUCUCUUUAUUUUCAAACUUGAAUAAGAGAGAAGGUAGCCUUGUGCUUUCAUUUCAAGCAUAAUGUGACUCCUUUGAAGUUUAUGAACGAAUGCCUAGUGAGCCGAGUAGGCUGAUGUUCAAUCCAGUUGAGUGUCCUCUGAGCUGUAAAAUGAUUCAAGAUUCACUCAUCUCUGGGAAUUAAAUACAGGCAGUAAUAAUGUGAAUGUAAACAAAGGUUUUCACCUGGGGAUGUGACUAUGCUCAGAGUGGUGUAGUAGCAAAAUCUGUUUUGUUGUUAUAAUUAAGAACUUAAAUUAUUUACCAUGGUGUAUUUGCAUAAGGACUAAGAUUUUUUAAAAAAUCAUUUAAAAAAAGAUAAAGACCAAUAUUUAAUUAUGGUUUUCAAGUUAUUUGGAAAAUUGGAAUUCUCAAUAACAUAAAUUAGAAUUUAAAGGGCCUCUGACUUUUAAUUCAGUGGUAAAUCUAUAUCCUCGUGAGGCUGCCUAAGCAAGGUGUCCCACUUCCC
Molecule: long non-coding RNA, 3527 nt
Filed under: Sus scrofa (pig)
Lineage: Eukaryota; Metazoa; Chordata; Mammalia; Artiodactyla; Suidae
Description: lncRNA (ENSSSCG00000057571.1)
Source: RNAcentral